Molecule: long non-coding RNA, 2240 nt
Organism: Lates calcarifer (barramundi perch)
Lineage: Eukaryota; Metazoa; Chordata; Actinopteri; Centropomidae
Exons: 2
Source: RefSeq, a predicted model, not a curated record
UAAGGUGUCACGGUUCAAAUUGUAGCGGAAUUUAUGAGACAAAUGUUUCAGAUUUCUCAUCUUUUUCGCGUUACAAAUGUAUUUCUGCUGCUUCAAAACAAAAACCCGACUCGAAUAUCAACAUUCUGCCUUUAUAAAUGCAUUUUUCGCGCCGCGCAAAUCCAAGUUUAAGGUCGUAUUAAAUUAUUCCUCAGACACCGUGUCCUUGUUUGACUUCAGACUAUAUAGAACACGGUGUGCUGAAAAAUCAGUGGGAACCGCUCAUGCUGCACAGUGCACAGCCCAGUGGGUAUCACACCGGAUCUGAGAGCUGAAUAAAUCAAAUACCUGGCGGCAGUCGACUGUAUUUCACACAUCUUAUUGGAUGUAAUUAGAUGCCAGGCUGCCGCUCUUACAAGUCGUCGUGAGUGGUGCACAUCGAUCACAGCCGCAUGCAUUUUCACAGAUCCACCUGCAGUUUGCAGUAUUUCCUGCCCCCGGGGUGAGAAAUAACUGCAGACUGACCCCGGCAGCAGCAGCAGCAGCAGCAGCCUCUGCAGGUGAAAACCACAGCUGUUUUUGACCUCUAAUGACCUCUCCCCACCCCUCUCUUCCUUCCUGACAAGGGGGAGAAAAGACUCUCGAAGAUGCCACUGAUUGAUACCAUGAACUGUCAAGAGCAGGGUGAUGAGAAACACACGUUUACCCGCUCGACCGGCCAGAAUUUAUCAGCACUUGGAAGCUGAAAGUGUGUGCGUGUGCACAUGUAAAUCCACCUAGAAGUAACUGUCAGCCCCUAAUGUGCUCAUCUGGUUUCUUUUUCACUCAUUUCUGCCAAACCCAACCAAGUGUGUGUGUGUGGUGAAAAAAUGUGCACGCUGCAGAAAAAAGGAAGUACGAAAUGCAACCACAGUAGAUGGAAGUGGUUAGCACUGCACAGACCACCAAAGAGAGCCCAGUUUUAUGUGCUCUCUGUGUCACAGCUGAAGAUGCACUGAGGAGGGGGAAAAAAAACAUCCUCUUUCAUUUGCUUUCUGGACCAAAUCAACAGUUUUUAAUUAUACAAUAUGAUUUGUUGUUGUGUUCCUGCAGCAAUUACUGCUUUUAGUUCAUUUUCAUCUCAAGUCUCGUGAGAUAUAAUUAAAAAUACAAACAUGGAAUCAUGUAAAAAUGAGUAAUGCACAUAAAGAAUUGAUGCACAGGCAGGCAGACAGUCACAUUGCAGCUUACAGGGGAUGUUGAGUCUCCACCUGACUUGCAUGUAAUUGAAAGGAAGUGCGGCACUGAGAGGAGAGCGAGGUGAACCCGGGGUGAACGUGCGAAACCACGAAAUCAAACCUACGCCUUGCUCUUUGUGAGACGUCGGUGCCAACUGCUGAUUUGCUGUGCCGCCCUCUUCAAACGUCUCGCCUCUCGUCUCUCCCUGUACCAGUGCAGCGUUGCCAUCUGCAGGUGGAAGGGCUGAACUCCCACAUUUCCAUGGCAACUGCACGCGUGGAUGCGGGGAGAGCCCCCUGCCGUAGCCCCUGGCAACAGGGUUUCUCAGGGGGAUGAAGGGUGGCGGGGGGUGGGGGGAUCCUGGGAUUGGAGCCCCUAUCAGGAGCUGUCAAUCAUGGGAUGAGCCUCUGCUUCGCCCCCAAGGCCAAUGUGCUCGGGGAGAUAGGAAUAAAUCCAUUACCAGGCAGCCGACAGGGACGGGGGUCAGCAGGAAACACUCAUGGAGACAAAGACGGAGAGGAGUGUGCACAGUUCAUCCACAGUGUGGUACAGUAUGUCAGGGAGGGUAGCCUCCACUGUAAUUACCAUGGUUACGAUCGAUGGAGCAGCUCAGCAUCAGGUGAGGGGAGCUGUGUGAUGACAGCUCCUCUGUGUCUUGACCUUUAUGCUGCAGUCACCGACGAAUGUGUCUGUGUAGAGAGUUUCCUCUAAAGCAGUGCGACCUGCCUGUGGAGCCCAUCAGUGUUACAUGAUUACACAGAAUAUGGUGCUGCAUCAUAAUAAUCACAGAUUCCUUGCAGCACUCGAGUUGUAAUCAAAACAGUCACUUUGGACACAUCCCCUGGGUCUGUGCUCGCUUAGCCUCUUCUCCAUCCGUAAUCAUAAUGUAUGUACACAACUAUGGUUUCUAUCUCUUCUCUUGUCGUUCCUCCAUAAUUAUGUUUUCCCUCCUUCACUUUUCCCCUCCCCCCUGGGGAAAAGUUGGGUGUCGUUUCCCCAAUGAUACUCUAAUAAAGCACAGUCAAUUCUGUAGUUUCUGAUGA